GCCCUCAGUUGCGGCGAGUGAAGCGGCAAAGCUCACAUUUGAAAUCUGGCGUCUUUGGCGUCCGAGAAUGUAAUUUGAAGAAGGUAUCUUUGGGCCCGGCUCUUGUCUAUGUUCCUUGGAACAGGACGUCACAGAGGGUGAGAAUCCCGUGCGAUGAGAUGACCCGGGUCUGUGUAAAGUUCCUUCGACGAGUCGAGUUGUUUGGGAAUGCAGCUCUAAGUGGGUGGUAAAUUCCAUCUAAAGCUAAAUAUUGGCGAGAGACCGAUAGCGAACAAGUACAGUGAUGGAAAGAUGAAAAGAACUUUGAAAAGAGAGUGAAAAAGUACGUGAAAUUGUUGAAAGGGAAGGGCUUGAGAUCAGACUUGGUAUUUUGCAUGUUGCUCUCUCGGGGGCGGCCGCUGCGGUUUACCGG
Molecule: ribosomal RNA, 412 nt
Filed under: Candida albicans
Lineage: Eukaryota; Fungi; Ascomycota; Pichiomycetes; Serinales; Debaryomycetaceae
Description: eukaryotic LSU rRNA
Rfam family: Eukaryotic large subunit ribosomal RNA
Source: RNAcentral